Small nucleolar RNA from Vitis vinifera (wine grape), 122 nucleotides. Lineage: Eukaryota; Viridiplantae; Streptophyta; Magnoliopsida; Vitales; Vitaceae. The record is from Rfam.
AUCGCAGAUAAAUUUUUUUUUGUGUUUAUUUGAUUCAUGGGAGGCAUACAUCAAUAAUGGGAGUUUGCUGAUGGCACCUUUGUAGUCAAGAGGGUGCUCUAAUAGUACCUCACUGUACAUUU